Molecule: long non-coding RNA, 2428 nt
Organism: Ruditapes philippinarum (Manila clam)
Lineage: Eukaryota; Metazoa; Mollusca; Bivalvia; Venerida; Veneridae
Exons: 2
Source: RefSeq, a predicted model, not a curated record
AUGAUGAUUAUUAUCAUCAUCAUCAUCAUCAUCAUCAUUAUUAUCAUGUGAUGACAUUGGUGAUUAUUAUGUUGAUGAUUAGGCAAAAUGAUUGUAUCGGACAAAAGGGAUAGUUGAGAUCAGGUGUUAUUAGAAAUAGAGAUAUUGACACGGAUGAUGAUGGUGAUGAUGAUUAUUAUCAUCAUCGUCAUCAUCAUUAUUAUUAUCAUGUGAUGACAUUGGUGAUUAUUAUGUUGAUGAUUAGGCAAAAUGAUGGUAUCGGACAAAAGGGAUAGUUGAGAUCAGGUGUUAUUAGAAAUAGAGAUAUUGACACGGAUGAUGAUGGUGAUGAUGAUUAUUAGAGAAAUAGUGAUUACGCAAUACGAUGGCAAGAGGAAAAGGGAUAGUCGAAAUAAUGCUAGAAAAAUGAUGACAGUAUUAAGAAUUGAUAUAACAGUGUAUUAUUACAAUAGAUAUCAUGGUAAUUAAAAUAUUUCGAUGAUACUUGCAAAACCACUUAUCAUUGUUACAAAGUGCAUGAAGUAUUUGUUUAACUUUGUGACAUGCUAUUAUCGACAAUAAGUGAUACUCACAUUCAAAAAGAUACAGUGGAAAAUUUCAUUCAUAAACUAAUUUGAUUACUGUCAUAUCUUUGAAUAUUAUGAUAGUUUUAUCAACAAAAUAGUUUACACCUGUUUAUGCUCAAUGUACUUUUAACUUAUAUACUUGCAAACAAAUAUCAUGAUUGAUUGUUAAAAGUUCAAUUAAAUAAGCUGUUAACAUUUAUUUAAUGCUAUUUUAUUUCAGACUUCAUUUGAAAUAUAUGUCAAUGGUAAACUGUUAUAUUCCAAGUUAAAAAAGAAAUCGUUUCCACCCGAUUGAGAGAUAUUUACUUCAAUACACAAUACGACUCACAACCCCGACUCCAAGAAGACAAAAGACAGUUCUACAUGAUUUUGUAUUCUUGUUUAGCAAUGGUACUUCGACAAACUAUUCCUUCAAAAGAAAUGUGUUACUUGAACGAGAUUAUACUUAAAAAGAACAAAUAACAUGCUAUACUUCAUUGCAUUAGUAGGAAAUUAAACAUCAGUGCAUGAGUUCAUUUUAAAUUAAUUUUUAAACUUAAUUUUUGGAAUAUUGUAUUAAGAUUUAUUUAACUUGCUUUGGACACUAUCUCGCCUUUCAUUUCCAAUGUAAAUGCAUAGCGAUUUUCUCUCCUGAUGCAGUCGCGUAACAGGCAGUUUUAUCUUGUUUUAGUUUAGCAUACUAAUAUUGAAUUUUGUGACAGAUGUGCCUCUAUAGAUCUCUAGAUAAUUUGGAUUAAGGUAAUAUUUAUGGCAUACUUUAUUAACACAUCCUUCAUUUGUAAGUCUGUUUGCCGUCGGCUUGAAAUGACUUUUGGAUACUAAAAGCUUGUAAAAAGAAGGUUCCAUAAGGAUGUGCCGCCGACGACAAACAUUCAUAACUUAUUAUGUAUAUAUACUAGUAUAGAUUACUUUGAAAUAAAAUAUCUAUAAUUCUUCACGUAUAGUCAAACACUUUUGCUUUUGAUAGUUUGCAAGUCUUUGGGUUAGAUACUUCGUUAUAUGUAAUUGUUAAUCAAGAAUUUUAUGUACUUUAUGUUGUCUUUAUUGUAACCCUUUUCUAGUAUGUAUGUUUAUGUAAAAUGGAGAAAGAGUUAUAAAUUAUUUUGACAUAUACUCGCAUGCAAAACUAAACUUGCUCUAAACUACACUGUGUAUUCAAUAUAUAGUCACUGAUCGAAGGGAUGCUUUGUCGUCGUUCUAUAAAACUAAAUCAUAAAUUCUUCAUGUUUUGAAUAGGUAAAUUAACCUGAAUGAAGAAAUGACAAAGCUUAUCUUAAGUGAAUUGACGUAUUGUUUAAACUAACUAAACUGACAACUGAAAUCGUAUACGAGUACAUGUACAUGUAUUAUGUUUAACCUUCUACAAAUGACUCUACAGUUUACUCUUUGUUGUCAGAAGAAUGUUGGACAUCUUUAAAUUUUGACUUUUUUGUAUGUCGUCUGCCACUUCAAACAUGUUAACGAUGAAUUGAAAAUUUAGCAUCGGAUAUGUCGUUUUCAUUUGCCAAUAGAAAACAUAACGGAUAUAUUAAAUUAGAAGUGUUAGUGAUUUUAAUAAAGGUAAACCAUAUCAUUCUGUGUUAAGCUCGCACGUACAGAACGUAAUGAAAAAUGAAAAUACCGUUCUACUAUAUUACUAAUUCUUACACUAUCGGAAAUCUUUCUAUAUAAACAAAGAAGGCCAGAAGCGUGCGUUAUUCUACAUUCUAACACUCACGUGAUUUUGUCACUAUAGACAAAGAAGGAAAAAAACUGGUGUUAAACUGCCAAUAAACACCGGUUAGGGACUACUUGUAUAUCCGCUGUUAUAUUUUCACCCUCGAUUGUAUAGUUUACAAAGCAUUUUAAAGCAACAAUAAAAA